CAAUUAAACUAUUCAGGGCUCUAAAGUCCUGAACUAAGCGAUAUGCUGGCCAGUGGUGUUGGGAGUGGGUCUGGUGUUGUUCUUGCCUACCGGGCAUAUUUUGAGAAUUGUGGGGUUGUUGGGGUGUGUGGGGUUUCCUGGGGUGUGGACACUCAUUCCUCCAGUGGCCAUAUUGGCCACAGUUGAAACAAGUGUUCCUGUCUAUUCCUCCUUGGUUACCCCUGCCCCUAUAACCCUGAUUUCCCUGUCUCCAUCCCCUUGCCCCUCUUUGACCACCCCUUCCACGGGCUUUAUGUGCUCCAUCCCAUCCUCGCUCUCAGCCUGUGUAGGUGGACAGUGUUGCAAUCCCUGAGCAUAAUAAGCAACCUUACUUUCCUAAAUCUUUUCUUAAGUCAAAACAACCUGCAUUUUCCUUUUCUAUAACCUUGGUAAGAAAAUCUGAG
Pelobates cultripes (western spadefoot toad) is the source of this 443-nucleotide non-coding RNA. The record is from the annotation of a GenBank genome assembly. NCBI's taxonomy places the organism in Eukaryota, Metazoa, Chordata, Amphibia, Anura, Pelobatidae.